This 119-nucleotide ribosomal RNA is filed under the name Pteropus alecto (black flying fox). Lineage: Eukaryota; Metazoa; Chordata; Mammalia; Chiroptera; Pteropodidae. The record is from RNAcentral.
GUCUAUGGCCAUGUCACCCUGAACAAGCCCGAUCCCGUCUGAUCUCGGAAGCUAAGCAUGGUCAGGUCUGGUUAGUACUUGGAUGGGAGACCACGUAGGAUGACCAGGUGCUGUAAACG